AUGCAAGUCUCCAAGACUUCCCAGCACUCCAAUCACUCCAAUAUAGAUUGGUCGAUCAUAGAGAGUGCAUCGCCCAUUGACGACCUGAUUGAGGACCUGGACGGGAGAGAGCAUUGCCAACGGAAACGGUUUUUGUCCAUCCCCAACUUGACACGAGCGGCAAUAUCGGUGAGGACAUUGACGACUUGGACGACGCUCUGGUCGCUAUUCACCGUUCGAAAGCCUCCAUUCUCACUUAGCAUCAAUCGGAUUCAGAUAGCACAAUGUCAUCUAGCGACGAUAGCAUGAUACACACACCUGUGGUAGAGGUGGAGAGCCCAGAGUCGAAAAUUGCUCGGUUGGACGCGGCCCUUCAAGCCAAAGAGGCGGCCCUUGAAGCCAAAGAGGCGGCC
Molecule: long non-coding RNA, 392 nt
Organism: Tigriopus californicus
Lineage: Eukaryota; Metazoa; Arthropoda; Copepoda; Harpacticoida; Harpacticidae
Exons: 2
Source: RefSeq, a predicted model, not a curated record